RNAcentral lists this ribosomal RNA (2990 nucleotides) under marine metagenome. Its description in RNAcentral is "bacterial LSU rRNA". It matches the Rfam family "Bacterial large subunit ribosomal RNA". The record is from RNAcentral.
UUAAGCUACUAAGAGCGCGUGGUGGAUGCCUUGGCGCUAGAGGCCGAAGAAGGGCGUAGCUUGGCUGCGAUAAGCCCGGGGGAAUUGUCAAGCAAGUUGAUCCCGGGAUACCCGAAUGGGGUAACCCGUCUCGAUUGAUUUCGGGACACCGUCGACUGAACACAUAAGUCGAAUGGAGGCAAGCAGGGGAACUGAAACAUCUAACUACCCUGAGGAAAAGAGAUUAUUCCGUUAGUAGUGGCGAGCGAACGCGGAUCAGCCCAAACCGUGGAGGCUUAAAGGAUGCGGGUCCUAUGUCUGUGCGGUGUUGUGCGCUUUACUGGGAGACGUCCGCAACGUCUCGCGAAGUUACAAACCAUAUCCCUAGCCGAAAGUUGUGGAGACAACUGCCUUAGAGGGUGAAAGCCCCGUAGGUGAAAGGGUGAGGCUUCGUGCAGUAUUGUCGCGAGUACCACGGGACACGAGAAAUCUUGUGGGAAACUGGGGAGACCACUCUCCAAGGCUAAAUACCUCUAGCGACCGAUAGUGAACUAGUACCGUGAGGGAAAGGUGAAAAAUACCCCGGGAGGGGAGUGAAAUAGAUCUGAAACCAUGUGCUUACAAACGGUCAGAGUCUUUUUUCGAAAAGAUGAUGGCGUGCCUAUUGAAGAAUGAUCCGGCGAGUUAAUACAUGUCGCGAGGUUAAGGAUGUUGACAUCUGUAGCCGUAGCGAAGGCGAGUCUGAAUAGGGCGAUGCAGUGGCAUGUAUUAGACCCGAAACCAGGUGAGCUACCCAUGGCCAGGGUGAAGCGAGUUUAAAAGCUUGUGAAGGCCCGAACCGUUGAACGGUGCAAAGUUCUCGGAUGAGCUGUGGGUAGAGGUAAAAUGCCAAUCGAACCUGGAGAUAGCUGGUUCUCUCCGAAAUGCAUUUAGGUGCAGCCUUAUGGCUUCACCUCUGGAGGUAGGGCUCUGAAUGGACUAGGGGGCGAAAGCUUACCAAACCCAAUCAAACCACAAAUGCCAGAGGCCUAGACCAUAAGAGUGAGUCAGUGGGGGAUAAGCUCCAUUGUCGAGAGGGAAACAACCCAGAUCACCAGCUAAGGUCCCUAAGUGUAGUCUAAGUGUCAAACGAGGUGGAAUUCCUAAAACAGCCAGGAGGUUGGCUCAGAAGCAGCCAUCCUUUAAAGAGUGCGUAACAGCUCACUGGUCGAGGAACUCCGCGCGGAUAAUGUACCGGGGCUAAAGUCUACCACCGAAGCUGUGGGCUUCUUCAUUUAGUUGAAGGAGCGGUAGGAGAGCGUUCCCUUUGCUUUGAAGCCCUGACGUGAGUCAGAGUGGAGCGCUGGGAAGUGAGAAUGCCGGAAUGAGUAGCAAUGAACCUGGGUGAGAAUCCCGGGCGCCGAAAAUCCAAGGUUUCCUACGCCACGGUCGUCGACGUAGGGUUAGGCGGACCUAAGCUGAGGGCGAAAGCCGUAAGCGAUGGACAGCUGGUUAGUAUUCCAGCCCCGGUGAGUUGUCGUUUAAAGCGUCGGAGUGACGCAGGAGGAUAGGAAAGGCGUACCCAUUGGACAUGGUAUGUCCCAAAGUCAAGGUGAUGCCGAAAUAGGUAAAUCCGUUUCGGAUAUUUAGCUGAGAUGCUGGGAGAGUCCUUCCACUACGGUGGAAUGUCGAUCUUUCUGAUUUCAUGCUGUCUAGAAAACCUUCGUCUGCUAUGGCAAUUUACCGACCGUACCGCAAACCGACACAGGUGGAUACUCCUAAAUGGGAGAAGGCGCGCGAGAUAACCCCCCUUAAGGAACUCGGCAAUUUAACCCCGUAACUUAGGAAUAAGGGGUGCCCUCGAUAGUUUUCGGGUAACUGAAUGCUUUUGAGGGUCACAGUAACAGGCCCGAGCGACUGUUUAACUAAAACAUAGGUCUCUGCGAAGGGGAAACCCGAAGUAUAGGGGCUGACGCCUGCCCAGUGCUGGAAGGUUAAGAGGAUGAGUGAGAGCUUUGAAUUUAAGCCCCAGUGAACGGCGGCCGUAACUAUAACGGUCCUAAGGUAGCGAAAUUCCUUGUCGGGUAAGUUCCGACCCGCACGAAUGGCGUAACGACUUGGGCGCUGUCUCGAGGGGGGACUCGGUGAAGUUGAAGUAUCCGUGAAGAUGCGGAUUACCCGCGGCAGGACAAAAAGACCCCGUGGAGCUUUACUGUAACCUGGCAUUGUGCUUGGGUCUCAGAUGUGUAGGAUAGGCGGGAGGCUAUGAAAUUUUGGCGUCAGCUGAGAUGGAGCCGUCCUUGAAAUACCGCCCCUCUUAGAUUUAUGUACUAACCCCUGAGCAAGCAGGGAGACCGUGUCAGGCGGGCAGUUUGACUGGGGCAGUCGCCUCCCAAAAGGUAAUGGAGGCGUACAAAGGUUCGCUCAGGGUGUAUGGAAACCACCCGCGGAGUGCAUUGGCAUAAGCGAGCUUGACUGUGAGGCAUACAAGCCGAGCAGGGACGAAAGUCGGUCAAAGUGAUCCUACGGCCCCGUGUGGAAGGGCCGUGGCUUAACGGAUAAAAGCUACCCCGGGGAUAACAGGCUGAUCCCUCCCAAGAGUUCAUAUCGACGGAGGGGUUUGGCACCUCGAUGUCGGCUCAACGCAUCCUGGGGGUGAAGGCGCUCCCAAGGGUCCGGCUGUUCGCCGGUUAAAGCGUUACGCGAGCUGGGUUCAGACCGUCGUGAGACAGGUCGGUCUCUAUCCGCCGUGGGCGUAGGAGAUUUGAGGGAAGCUUUUCCUAGUACGAGAGGACCGGAAAGGACAGACCGCUGGUGUGCCAGUUGUAUCGCCAGAUGCAGCGCUGGGUAGCCAUGUCUGGAAGGGAUAAGCGCUGAAAGCAUCUAAGCACGAAGCCCCUCCCAAGAUGAGAUCUCCCACCCUUUUUAGGAAGGGUUAAGGACGCAGGAAGACUACCUGCUUGAUAGGCCACAUGUGGAAGUACAGCAAUGUGCGGAGCUUAGUGGUACUAAUCGUCCGAGGGCUUAACCAU